AUUCAGCUGAUGAGUUUCAAAUAGAACGAAACAUACAUCCUGAAU
Molecule: non-coding RNA, 45 nt
Filed under: Schistosoma mansoni
Lineage: Eukaryota; Metazoa; Platyhelminthes; Trematoda; Strigeidida; Schistosomatidae
Source: RNAcentral